This 253-nucleotide ribosomal RNA is filed under the name uncultured bacterium. RNAcentral describes it as "partial 16S ribosomal RNA". It matches the Rfam family "Bacterial small subunit ribosomal RNA", at positions 524 to 776 of the family's 1533-position model. The record is from RNAcentral.
UACGUAGGUGACCAGCGUUGUCCGGAUUUACUGGGCGUAAAGAGCGCGCAGGCGGUCGUUCAAGUCGAGUGUGAAAGCCCCCGGCUCAACUGGGGAGGGUCACGCGAUACUGAUCGACUCGAAGGCAGGAGAGGGAAGUGGAAUUCCCGGUGUAGUGGUGAAAUGCGUAGAUAUCGGGAGGAACACCAGUGGCGAAGGCGACUUCCUGGCCUGUUCUUGACGCUGAGGCGCGAAAGCUAGGGGAGCAAACGGG